RNAcentral lists this ribosomal RNA (630 nucleotides) under uncultured bacterium. Its description in RNAcentral is "bacterial SSU rRNA". It matches the Rfam family "Bacterial small subunit ribosomal RNA", at positions 397 to 1020 of the family's 1533-position model. The record is from RNAcentral.
ACGCGUGUGUGAAGAAGGCCUUAGGUUGUAAAGCACUUUCAAUUGGAAGGAAAACCUCAGGGUUACUACCCNCUGAGCUUGACAUUACCUUUAGAAGAAGCGCCGGCUAACUCCGUGCCAGCAGCCGCGGUAAUACGGAGGGUGCAAGCGUUAAUCGGAAUUACUGGGCGUAAAGCGUGCGUAGGCGGCUUUGUAAGCCAGAUGUGAAAGCCCUGGGCUUAACCUGGGAACUGCAUUUGAAACUGGCAAGCUAGAGUAUAGGAGAGGAGAGUGGAAUUUCAGGUGUAGCGGUGAAAUGCGUAGAGAUCUGAAGGAACACCAGUGGCGAAGGCGACUCUCUGGCCUAAAACUGACGCUGAGGUACGAAAGCGUGGGUAGCAAACAGGAUUAGAUACCCUGGUAGUCCACGCCGUAAACGAUGUCAACUAGCCGUUGGCUCUCUUAGAGAGUUAGUGGCGCAGCUAACGCAUUAAGUUGACCGCCUGGGGAGUACGGCCGCAAGGUUAAAACUCAAAUGAGUUGACGGGGGCCCGCACAAGCGGUGGAGCAUGUGGUUUAAUUCGAUGCAACGCGAAGAACCUUACCUACCCUUGACAUCCAGAGAAUCUGUUAGAGAUAGUAGAGUGCUUC